Molecule: non-coding RNA, 837 nt
Organism: Phoenix dactylifera (date palm)
Lineage: Eukaryota; Viridiplantae; Streptophyta; Magnoliopsida; Arecales; Arecaceae
Source: RefSeq, a predicted model, not a curated record
CGUUUGGUGCAGGCUUUGUUCAAACUCCUAUGAAGAGGAGAAAGCGCACCCCUUUUCUUCGCCUCCUAUACCUCCUCCCCUUCUUGUUCUAGGGUUUUGCCCGGCUUUAGGGUUCCGCCGGGCCGCCGUUUUCUCCCUCCAAACAACCCGAUUUCUUGAUUCGGCGCUUCUGAUUCGAGACUUGAGAGAUUUUAGGAUCUUGAUUCUUUGUAGAAGUCUUGCUCGAAGCACCCCGGGCUUUGCUGAAGAACUCCGUGACGACGGAAGCCCCAAUGCUGGUGACAGAUAGAUUCGCCGUUCCGUGUUGCAGUUCUGUUCACGAAUUCCUACGACCGAUCUGUGUCGAUGAAAGAGCCAAUGAGGAGCCUCGUUGGUGAUUCCAUAGCUACUGGAACAAUUGAUGGUGCAAAACAAAUGGAAUAUGCCUAUGUGCGAGAGAAGUUUGCGGAACCUGAUCCUGAUGUGUGUCAAAGAAAUGGUUUUGAGAACUGGCAGCAGUAUGGAACUUGCGCUCAAGGAAUAUGUCUUCAAUCAAGGCAGCUGAAACUUUGAAGACCGAGCCUGAUCCACAUGACGACAUGGGUGGCCGGCCAAGAAGUACAAAGAAUCGAAGACGACGAAGAGCCUGUAGCUGCUAUUUGUGCACGUCUUCAGAGGGCCGUUGACAUUUUAUUUACUUAUUUAUUUGUAUUUUAUUUGUAUUUUCUGCGAUCUGCAGUCAGAUUUGUUUGGUAUUAUUUAUGCUGAUUUAAUUUGCCGAAUAAACAUUGGAAUUUCUCUUUCUUGUUGACUUCUCGAAGAUGUCAUAACAGGUGAACUUGGGCGAGCUGAAACUUA